This 520-nucleotide ribosomal RNA is filed under the name uncultured Oxalobacteraceae bacterium. Its description in RNAcentral is "bacterial SSU rRNA". It matches the Rfam family "Bacterial small subunit ribosomal RNA", at positions 1 to 523 of the family's 1533-position model. The record is from RNAcentral. Lineage: Bacteria; Pseudomonadati; Pseudomonadota; Betaproteobacteria; Burkholderiales; Oxalobacteraceae.
CUUGAGUUUGAUCAUGGCUCAGAUUGAACGCUGGCGGCAUGCUUUACACCUGCAAGUCGAACGGCAGCGCGGGGCAACCUGGCGGCGAGUCGCGAACGGGUGAGUAAUAUAUCGGAACGUACCCAAGAGUGGGGGAUAACGUAGCGAAAGUUACGCUAAUACCGCAUACGAUCCAAGGAUGAAAGCAGGGGACCGCAAGGCCUUGUGCUCCUGGAGCGGCCGAUAUCUGAUUAGCUAGUUGGUAGGGUAAAGGCCUACCAAGGCUACGAUCAGUAGCUGGUCUGAGAGGACGACCAGCCACACUGGAACUGAGACACGGUCCAGACUCCUACGGGAGGCAGCAGUGGGGAAUUUUGGACAAUGGGCGCAAGCCUGAUCCAGCAAUGCCGCGUGUUUUUUUAAGGCCUUCGGGUUGUAAAGCUCUUUUGUCAGGGAAGAAACGGUGCGGGCUAAUAUCCUGCGCUAAUGACGGUACCUGAAGAAUAAGCACCGGCUAACUACGUGCCAGCAGCCGCGGUAA